This 495-nucleotide ribosomal RNA is filed under the name uncultured bacterium. RNAcentral describes it as "partial 16S ribosomal RNA". It matches the Rfam family "Bacterial small subunit ribosomal RNA", at positions 28 to 507 of the family's 1533-position model. The record is from RNAcentral.
GACGAACGCUGGCGGCGUGCCUAAUACAUGCAAGUAGAACGCUGAAGGAGGAGCUUGCUUCUCUGGAUGAGUUGCGAACGGGUGAGUAACGCGUAGGUAACCUGCCUGGUAGCGGGGGAUAACUAUUGGAAACGAUAGCUAAUACCGCAUAAUAGUAGAUGUUGCAUGACAUUUGCUUAAAAGGUGCAAUUGCAUCACUACCAGAUGGACCUGCGUUGUAUUAGCUAGUUGGUGGGGUAACGGCUCACCAAGGCGACGAUACAUAGCCGACCUGAGAGGGUGAUCGGCCACACUGGGACUGAGACACGGCCCAGACUCCUACGGGAGGCAGCAGGAGGGAAUCUUCGGCAAUGGACGGAAGUCUGACCGAGCAACGCCGCGUGAGUGAAGAAGGUUGUCGGAUCGUAAAGCUCUGUUGUAAGAGAAGAACGAGUGUGAGAGUGGAAAGUUCACACUGUGACGGUAUCUUACCAGAAAGGGACGGCUAACUACGUG